GAUCCCUUGGUGCCUUAGUGCGCCCUGAACCUUUAAUAACUAUGUACAUAAUUUCUCAUAGCACUAUCCCCGCCACUGACUUUUGUGGGUGGGUAGGUGAGUGGGGGGCCGGCGCAACAGCAGUGCUAGCUAUAGUAAAAGGACAUACUACAAUAGUGCAAAGCAAACAAGAUGAUAAAGGCAAAAACAAACCGUGCCAUCUGCUGAAGCUGAA
This 214-nucleotide unclassified non-coding RNA is filed under the name Hevea brasiliensis (rubber tree). Lineage: Eukaryota; Viridiplantae; Streptophyta; Magnoliopsida; Malpighiales; Euphorbiaceae. The record is from RNAcentral.